GCGGAGGAAAAGAAACUAACAAGGAUUCCCCUAGUAACUGCGAGUGAAGCGGGAAAAGCUCAAAUUUAAAAUCUGGUGGUCUUUGGCCAUCCGAGUUGUAAUUUAGAGAAGCGUCUUCCGCGCUGGAC
This 128-nucleotide ribosomal RNA is filed under the name Russula cf. subfoetens MICH73730. RNAcentral's name for it is "partial 28S ribosomal RNA". It matches the Rfam family "Eukaryotic large subunit ribosomal RNA", at positions 50 to 175 of the family's 3401-position model. Lineage: Eukaryota; Fungi; Basidiomycota; Agaricomycetes; Russulales; Russulaceae. The record is from RNAcentral.